This 69-nucleotide transfer RNA is filed under the name Marmota monax (woodchuck). Its description in RNAcentral is "tRNA.Ala". The record is from RNAcentral. Lineage: Eukaryota; Metazoa; Chordata; Mammalia; Rodentia; Sciuridae.
GGGGUUGUGGCUCAGUGGUAGAGUGCACGCCUAGCCCAUGUGAAGCACUUGGUUCAAUCCUCAGCACCA